Molecule: long non-coding RNA, 947 nt
Organism: Microcebus murinus (gray mouse lemur)
Lineage: Eukaryota; Metazoa; Chordata; Mammalia; Primates; Cheirogaleidae
Source: RefSeq, a predicted model, not a curated record
CCCAGCGCUACCUGGGGCACGUCGUCGCCCCGGCCGCCGACGUCACGGCGUAACGUCCCGCGCGGGCGUCUCUGGGAAGGCGCGGGAGGGGAGGGGCGAGGAGCGGUACCGCCGGCGCCUUUUAAAAAGCCCGCUGGAGCCCCCUGGUGGCCACUGGCCGUCAUAGGCCUCUCUGCGCAAACAAGGCCGGAGGCUUCGGGAAGCCCGCAGGGCUGCGGCCGCGUUUGUCUUCCUUCUCGCCUCGCUGCGCAGGGUUCCCCCGCAGAAGCUGUUGGCGGGAAAGCAGCCGCUUCCUCACAGGCCUGCCUCAAAUGUAGACGUUAUCUGAGGCAUGGCGUCGAAGCGACGGUGUCCAUUUGGGGAGGCGUUCUGAAGCAGCCUGGGCCUCGCCAGGAAAGGACGGGCAGAGCGGGCGGCUCGGCGGCCGGGCGGGCCAGGCCGCGCGCGGGCCGCGCCCACACCCACUCCCGCGCGCGCGAGGAGACGAGACAGUUGUCACUUAUGACUCCUUGCUAAGGCGUAUACAUGCACACUCCUUCUGCUGAGGACUGCUCUCCACCCCAGGAGGCCUGUUGAAUAGAUGCAGGAUUCCAACUGGACCGCUCCCAGGCAGCCACAUCCAGUGCCUCGAAGCACUCAAGCAUCCUUCACCCCAGCACCGUCUUUGCAGCAGGCUGACCCCAAAGCAGCAGCAACCGCCGCCAGAGCUACUAACUGGAGAGCCGUCGUCUCUCCCUCCAGACUUUCUGGACAGGAAUUGGAGCCCAGACCACGGGCACCAUGGGCCUCCCAGACUGAGUCGGCCACCAGUUUGCACAACUUCAGGGAACCCAUUCCAAAGUCCUCUAAGCUUGGGUGAGAAAGUAAAAUCCCUCUCCCAAAGGUAGGUGAUGGGGUCUCAGAGCACGACAAAAAUGCUUUCCAAAUAAAUGUAUUUGAUCACCUUC